This 30-nucleotide non-coding RNA is filed under the name Mus musculus (house mouse). The record is from RNAcentral. Lineage: Eukaryota; Metazoa; Chordata; Mammalia; Rodentia; Muridae.
UCCGGCAGGAUGAUCAUGUCCCUCAGGUGU